AGACAGGUGCUGCAUGGCUGUCGUCAGCUCGUGUUGUGAAAUGUUGGGUUAAGUCCCGCAACGAGCGCAACCCUUAUCCUUUGUUGCCAGCGGUUCGGCCGGGAACUCAAAGGAGACUGCCAGUGAUAAACUGGAGGAAGGUGGGGAUGACGUCAAGUCAUCAUGGCCCUUACGACCAGGGCUACACACGUGCUACAAUGGCGCAUACAAAGAGAAGCGACCUCGCGAGAGCAAGCGGACCUCAUAAAGUGCGUCGUAGUCCGGAUUGGAGUCUGCAACUCGACUCCAUGAAGUCGGAAUCGCUAGUAAUCGUGGAUCAGAAUGCCACGGUGAAUACGUUCCCGGGCCUUGUACACACCGCCCGUCACACCAUGGGAGUGGGUUGCAAAAGAAGUAGGUAGCUUAACCUUCGGGAGGGCGCUUACCACUUUGUGAUUCAUGACUGGGGUGAAGUCGUAACAAGGUAACCGUAGGGGAACCUGC
Molecule: ribosomal RNA, 483 nt
Filed under: Salmonella enterica subsp. enterica serovar Infantis
Lineage: Bacteria; Pseudomonadati; Pseudomonadota; Gammaproteobacteria; Enterobacterales; Enterobacteriaceae
Description: bacterial SSU rRNA
Rfam family: Bacterial small subunit ribosomal RNA
Source: RNAcentral